RNAcentral lists this ribosomal RNA (432 nucleotides) under uncultured bacterium. RNAcentral's name for it is "bacterial SSU rRNA". It matches the Rfam family "Bacterial small subunit ribosomal RNA", at positions 355 to 776 of the family's 1533-position model. The record is from RNAcentral.
UCUAGAAGCUUCGGCAAUGGGGGCAACCCUGACCGAGCGACGCCGCGUGCGGGACGAAGGCCUUCGGGUUGUAAACCGCUUUCGACAGGGACGAAGGAAGGAAAAUAUAACACAUUUUCCAACUUGACGGUACCUGCAGAAGAAGCCCUGGCUAACUCCGUGCCAGCAGCCGCGGUAAUACGGAGAGGGCAAGCGUUGUUCGGAUUUAUUGGGCGUAAAGCGCGCGUAGGCGGUAUGGUAAGUCGGAUGUUAAAGACCCACGGCUCACCCGGGGGAAUGCGUCCGAUACUGCCGUACUGGAGUACGGGAGAGGGAAGUGGAAUUCCUGGUGUAGCGGUGAAAUGCGUAGAUAUCAGGAGGAACACCUGUGGCGAAGGCGGCUUCCUGGCCCGUAACUGACGCUGAGGCGCGAAAGCGUGGGGAGCGAACGGG